This 505-nucleotide ribosomal RNA is filed under the name uncultured Staphylococcus sp. Its description in RNAcentral is "bacterial SSU rRNA". It matches the Rfam family "Bacterial small subunit ribosomal RNA", at positions 20 to 507 of the family's 1533-position model. The record is from RNAcentral. Lineage: Bacteria; Bacillati; Bacillota; Bacilli; Caryophanales; Staphylococcaceae.
UGGCUCAGGAUGAACGCUGGCGGCGUGCCUAAUACAUGCAAGUCGAGCGAACAGACGAGGAGCUUGCUCCUCUGACGUUAGCGGCGGACGGGUGAGUAACACGUGGAUAACCUACCUAUAAGACUGGGAUAACUUCGGGAAACCGGAGCUAAUACCGGAUAAUAUAUUGAACCGCAUGGUUCAAUAGUGAAAGACGGUUUUGCUGUCACUUAUAGAUGGAUCCGCGCCGCAUUAGCUAGUUGGUAAGGUAACGGCUUACCAAGGCAACGAUGCGUAGCCGACCUGAGAGGGUGAUCGGCCACACUGGAACUGAGACACGGUCCAGACUCCUACGGGAGGCAGCAGUAGGGAAUCUUCCGCAAUGGGCGAAAGCCUGACGGAGCAACGCCGCGUGAAUGAUGAAGGUCUUCGGAUCGUAAAACUCUGUUAUUAGGGAAGAACAAAUGUGUAAGUAACUAUGCACGUCUUGACGGUACCUAAUCAGAAAGCCACGGCUAACUACGUG